GAGGGGUGAGGAGAAUAAGGGGAAUGGUUGUCCAUGUUGCUGCUGCUUCCUGUGUCUCAGUGACCCUGUGCCUUCUGCUUACAGCUCUAGCAGCUCAUUCUCAGGUUCAUCGGAUCCUGGUGCCCUUUGAUCAGCCUUCAGAAAUCAGCAGGAGUCAGCUCCAACCUGCCAGGAAAACCAACAUCUUAGAGAAAAGAACCUCCAGUGUUUUCCAAAGCAGCAGUGAUGUGAAGGGGAAAGCAAAGCCACCAGCUGAGGCACAAUGUUAACUCACAAUCUCCAUUACCUCCCCUCCAGCCCGUUUUAGAUCUUAACACCACACAAUAACAACCAGUCCCUCAUUCCCUCAACACAAGGUUGUUUGGCUUUCUCAAGCAGGACUAACACAAGCCCUAAUCACCAGCACAGUCCCUGCAAUCUCCUCCAAAGCCGCUGUAAAUCAGUCACUCCAAUACCAGCAUUCACAGGUUACAUUCUUUACGACCUCAAAUUUAAAGUGCAGAUCACACUUGAGAUAUUAACCACAGCCUCAGAGAUGCUCCUCAGGGAUACCAAACAAACAGUCUUUUUUUAGGUUAGGAAAAACUGAGCAAGAAAAGUAACUGGCAGGGAGCUCCGAGGACAUUCAGCAGCCCUUAGUCACCACCACACUCAUACACAGCGUGUUUGAUAGCGAGAGAUGAGAAGAUAAAGAAGCUUCCUGUAAAAUUCAAUAGUUUAGAAGCAUUCACAAACAAAACCUGUUUUCCUCCUAGAGAGGACUCACACUAACAUGAAUCUUUUGACUUGGAUGCCCUGUGUUUGACUCUCUCCCCGCAGGAGAACCUGGGCUAAGAAAAGGUAUUUCCUGUCCUCUUUGACCAAGGGAUUUAAAGGGACACCUCUGGUCUUUCCACUGCUUUGACUACUCCCUGAUUUCAGAAAAGGAGGGGGAAUAAACCCCAGGGAGUUCUGCUGCUUCCUCAUCAUUCUGCCCAACUAACAAUCAGCACUUUCAGGGUAAUGCUUUCACCACACUGCAGGAAGAAAAUACCUCAGGAAUCAGCUACAUACAUACAAAACCUAUGCAAGAACACACAGAGCCAUGAGCAGCC
This 1094-nucleotide long non-coding RNA is filed under the name Strigops habroptila (Kakapo). Its description in RNAcentral is "lncRNA (ENSSHBG00005018848.1)". Lineage: Eukaryota; Metazoa; Chordata; Aves; Psittaciformes; Psittacidae. The record is from RNAcentral.